RNAcentral lists this long non-coding RNA (301 nucleotides) under Monodelphis domestica (gray short-tailed opossum). RNAcentral describes it as "lncRNA (ENSMODG00000035264.2)". Lineage: Eukaryota; Metazoa; Chordata; Mammalia; Didelphimorphia; Didelphidae. The record is from RNAcentral.
CUCUGAUCCUUCUGAAGACAAAACUGUUUAAAUAGUUGUACCUUCACUUACCUGAGAUGACUGCAUUUCCCAGGUGAAUAAAGAGAGUUUGGACAAAAUGCAUUCUCACAUCCACAUCUGCUGUAUCCAGCAUCUACACAGAUAUUAUGAAACAACUUAAUCAAGCCGCUGGGACUUUGCUAGCCAUGGAUGAGAAAAGGGGACCAUUGUAAGGAUAUAAUGCCUGCUUCUGAGUCACUCCAGGGACUGUGAAGACGAAGCAUGAUUGAAGAUAAGAAAUAUCUCAGAAGCUCUUCUGGGA